This 924-nucleotide ribosomal RNA is filed under the name Pseudomonadota bacterium. Its description in RNAcentral is "Proteobacteria bacterium (freshwater metagenome) partial 23S ribosomal RNA". It matches the Rfam family "Bacterial large subunit ribosomal RNA", at positions 1927 to 2925 of the family's 2925-position model. The record is from RNAcentral. Lineage: Bacteria; Pseudomonadati; Pseudomonadota.
ACGGCGGCCGUAACUAUAACGGUCCUAAGGUAGCGAAAUUCCUUGUCGGGUAAGUUCCGACCUGCACGAAUGGCGUAACGAUCCGGGCGCUGUCUCAACGUGGUUCUCAGUGAAAUUGAAAUAGCGGUGAAGAUACCGUUAACCCGCAGCAAGACGGAAAGACCCCGUGAACCUUUACUGCAGCUUGGCAGUGGAUUCGGGAAGAGCUUGUGUAGGAUAGGUGGGAGGCUUAGAAGUCGGUGCGCCAGCGCCGGUGGAGCCGUCCUUGAAAUACCACCCUGGUUUUUUCGGAAUUCUAACCUCGUCCCGUGAUCCGGGACAGGGACCCUGCCUGGUGGGCGGUUUGACUGGGGCGGUCGCCUCCCAAAGCGUAACGGAGGCGCGCAAUGGUUCCCUCAGAGUGAUUGGAAACCACUCGUAGAGUGCAAAGGCAUAAGGGAGCCUGACUGCGAGAGAGACAUCUCAAGCAGGGACGAAAGUCGGUCUUAGUGAUCCGGUGGUUCCUUGAGGAAGGGCCAUCGCUCAACGGAUAAAAGGUACUCCUGGGGCUGAAGCAGGUCCCAAGGGUAUGGCUGUUCGCCAUUUAAAGCGGUACGCGAGCUGGGUUCAGAACGUCGUGAGACAGUUCGGUCCCUAUCUGCUGUGGGCGCAGGAGAUCUGAAGGAAUCUGCUCUUAGUACGAGAGGACCGGAGUGGACGAACCUCUGGUGAUCCGGUUGUUCCGCCAGGAGCACCGCCGGGUAGCUAUGUUCGGCAGGGAUAACCGCUGAAAGCAUCUAAGCGGGAAGCCCCUCCUGAGAGCGAUCUCCCGGACUUAAUGUCCCUGAAGGUCACAGGUAGACCACCUGUUUGAUAGGCCGGGGGUGGAAGCAUGGCAACAUGUGAAGCCGACCGGUACUAAGCGACCGUGUGGCUUGACUUGAU